RNAcentral lists this ribosomal RNA (468 nucleotides) under uncultured bacterium. Its description in RNAcentral is "partial 16S ribosomal RNA". It matches the Rfam family "Bacterial small subunit ribosomal RNA", at positions 28 to 507 of the family's 1533-position model. The record is from RNAcentral.
GACGAACGCUGGCGGCGUGCUUAACACAUGCAAGUCGAACGGAAAGGCCCUGCUUUUGUUGGGUGCUCGAGUGGCGAACGGGUGAGUAACACGUGAGUAACCUGCCCUUGACUUUGGGAUAACCUCAGGAAACUGGGGCUAAUACCGGAUAGGAGCUCCUGCUGCAUGGGGGUGGUUGGAAAGGUUCGGCGGUUGGGGAUGGACUCGCGGCUUGUCAGCUUGUUGGUGGGGUAGUGGCUUACCAAGGCUUUGACGGGUAGCCGGCCUGAGAGGGUGACCGGCCAAAUUGGGACUGAGAUACGGCCAAGACUCCUACGGGAGGCAGCAGUGGGGAAUAUUGCACAAUGGGCGGAAGCCUGAUGCAGCAACGCCGCGUGCGGGAUGACGGCCUUCGGGUUGUAAACCGCUUUCGCAUGUGACGAAGCGUGAGUGACGGUAAUGGGUAAAGAAGCACCGGCUAACUACGUG